RNAcentral lists this ribosomal RNA (708 nucleotides) under uncultured bacterium. RNAcentral describes it as "bacterial SSU rRNA". It matches the Rfam family "Bacterial small subunit ribosomal RNA", at positions 28 to 735 of the family's 1533-position model. The record is from RNAcentral.
AUUGAACGCUGGCGGAAUGCUUUACACAUGCAAGUCGAACGGUAGAGGGGGCAACCCCUUGAGAGUGGCGAACGGGUGAGUAAUAUAUCGGAACGUGCCCAGUCGUGGGGGAUAACGUAGUGAAAAUUACGCUAAUACCGCAUACGAUCUAAGGAUGAAAGCGGGGGAUCGCAAGACCUCGCGCGACUGGAGCGGCCGAUAUCAGAUUAGGUAGUUGGUAGGGUAAAGGCCUACCAAGCCAACGAUCUGUAGCUGGUCUGAGAGGACGACCAGCCACACUGGAACUGAGACACGGUCCAGACUCCUACGGGAGGCAGCAGUGGGGAAUUUUGGACAAUGGGCGAAAGCCUGAUCCAGCCAUUCCGCGUGCAGGAUGAAGGCCCUCGGGUUGUAAACUGCUUUUGUACAGAACGAAAAGGUUUCUAUUAAUACUAGGAGCUCAUGACGGUACUGUAAGAAUAAGCACCGGCUAACUACGUGCCAGCAGCCGCGGUAAUACGUAGGGUGCAAGCGUUAAUCGGAAUUACUGGGCGUAAAGCGUGCGCAGGCGGUUAUAUAAGUCAGAUGUGAAAUCCCCGGGCUCAACCUGGGAACUGCAUUUGAGACUGUAUAGCUAGAGUACGGUAGAGGGGGAUGGAAUUCCGCGUGUAGCAGUGAAAUGCGUAGAUAUGCGGAGGAACACCGAUGGCGAAGGCAAUCCCCUGGACC